AUGGAGCUUUUGGUGCUCAGCACCUUGAAAUGGAGGAUGCAAGUUGUUACUGCUUGCUCGUUUAUUGGCUACUUCCUUUGCAAAUUCAAUGAUCAUGACACACCCUCCAUGCUCGCAUUCUCCCACUCGAACCUCAACCCGAGCACAGCUAAGUGUAUGAAAGUUAAAUCAGAUCCCCCUUUUCAAAUUUCGAUUGCAGGAGCUGAUUUUUUGGUGUUCAGACCUUCCGAGAUUGCUGGAAGUGUUGCACCUGCUUCAUUUGGGGAGCGCAGUACUUCAGUGGUCGAAAGGGGUACAACUAAUUGCAAGUAUAUAAACAAGGAGCGAGUGUUAAGAUGCUACGAUGGAGCCAUGGAGAAUUUAGAUAAGCCUGUGCUAAAUGCGACCCUUGCUCCCCUGUCCGCCCCCUCGCAGCCACCGAAGUCAAGGGGCCGCCCCUGCUCGUCUCCCACUCCUGUCUCUUCUGCCAUGAAGAGUGCGCGGCUGGGUGAGGUCUCCCGGCUGGAUGGAGCCUCCCCGAACGCGGUGGAGAAGGCGUCUCACCAUGCUGCCAUCCGGAACCUCGAUGCAGGUCCGCCCAUCCCCCUGGCCCCUCCCUUUCACGACUCUGAUGAUGUUUGUGAUGAUUCCUUCUUGGCGUUGGCUGGUGUCCCACUUGGCCACUUAGCCAAAAUAGCUGCCAAUUCUGCGAUAGUUUUUCGCGAUGAAAAAGGUCCGGUUUUAGAGCAGAUAGCGUCCCUCCAGGCCAAGGAGGUACUGGAGGUCCGCCUUGCGGCCAUGCGUGCGCGCGAGGCAGCAGCUGUCGAGGAGGUUCCCCCCGACCCCUCAUCCGCUCCGUCGGGCAUUGAGUGCAUCCAUCACCGUAGGGUCCAGAAAGUACCCUUUGGGAGAGUAGUCAUGCGUGCACUUUUUUCGAACCUGCGGGGUUUCGGCCAUGAUGGCCACUGCAGGCAAAUCAUUGAGUAUAUGCGUGAUGAAUCAGUGGAUGUGGUGGUGAUUCACGAAACGAUGCGAACCGACUUCUCCCUAGCCGAACUCGAACGACUUCAUAGUCAUCUCUUUGCCUGGCACUGGUUGCCAUCUAGUGGAGUAGGGUCACUCCGGUGGCAUCCUUCUUGGUGUGAAGGGAUGCCACCUUUGAGGUUGGGUCUAUGGAUCAUGGCUCCUACUUCUUAA
RNAcentral lists this ribosomal RNA (1176 nucleotides) under Triticum aestivum (bread wheat). RNAcentral's name for it is "partial small subunit ribosomal RNA". Lineage: Eukaryota; Viridiplantae; Streptophyta; Magnoliopsida; Poales; Poaceae. The record is from RNAcentral.